AGUGAACGCUGGCGGUAGGCCUAACACAUGCAAGUCGAACGGCAGCACAGUAAGAGCUUGCUCUUACGGGUGGCGAGUGGCUGACGGGUGAGGAAUACAUCGGAAUCUACUUUUUCGUGGGGGCUAACGUAGGGAAACUUACGCUAAUACCGCAUACGACCUACGGGUGAAAGCAGGGGAUCUUCGGACCUUGCGCGAUUGAAUGAGCCGAUGUCGGAUUAGCUAGUUGGCGGGGUAAAGGCCCACCAAGGCGACGAUCCGUAGCUGGUCUGAGAGGAUGAUCAGCCACACUGGAACUGAGACACGGUCCAGACUCCUACGGGAGGCAGCAGUGGGGAAUAUUGGACAAUGGGCGCAAGCCUGAUCCAGCCAUACCGCGUGGGUGAAGAAGGCCUUCGGGUUGUAAAGCCCUUUUGUUGGGAAAGAAAAGCAGCAGGUUAAUACCCCGCUGUUCUGACGGUACCCAAAGAAUAAGCACCGGCUAACUUCGUG
Molecule: ribosomal RNA, 492 nt
Filed under: uncultured bacterium
Lineage: Bacteria
Description: partial 16S ribosomal RNA
Rfam family: Bacterial small subunit ribosomal RNA
Source: RNAcentral